This 485-nucleotide ribosomal RNA is filed under the name uncultured bacterium. RNAcentral describes it as "bacterial SSU rRNA". It matches the Rfam family "Bacterial small subunit ribosomal RNA", at positions 30 to 506 of the family's 1533-position model. The record is from RNAcentral.
AUUGAACGCUGGCGGCAUGCCUUACACAUGCAAGUCGAACGGCAGCACGGGAGCAAUCCUGGUGGCGAGUGGCGAACGGGUGAGUAAUAUAUCGGAACGUGCCCAGUCGUGGGGGAUAACGUAGCGAAAGCUACGCUAAUACCGCAUACGAUCUAUGGAUGAAAGCGGGGGAUCGCAAGACCUCGCGCGAUUGGAGCGGCCGAUAUCAGAUUAGGUAGUUGGUGAGGUAAAGGCUCACCAAGCCGACGAUCUGUAGCUGGUCUGAGAGGACGACCAGCCACACUGGAACUGAGACACGGUCCAGACUCCUACGGGAGGCAGCAGUGGGGAAUUUUGGACAAUGGACGGCAAGUCUGAUCUAGCCAUUCCGCGUGCAGGAUGAAGGCCCUCGGGUUGUAAACUGCUUUUGUACGGAACGAAACGGUGAGCUCUAAUACAGUUUGCUAAUGACGGUACCGUAAGAAUAAGACACCGGCUAACUACGU